This 297-nucleotide long non-coding RNA is filed under the name Homo sapiens (human). RNAcentral's name for it is "HSALNT0347563". The record is from RNAcentral. Lineage: Eukaryota; Metazoa; Chordata; Mammalia; Primates; Hominidae.
CUCAUUUUCUCUUGCCUCUGCUAUGUAAGAAAACCUUUCACCUCCCACCAUGAUUUUGAGACCUCCCCAGCCAAGUGGAACUGAAGGGUCCUGUCCUGUACCCGGGAGGAAGAAAUGCUACACAGAGAAGCCAAGAUGAAUCUGAACAGACAGCCUUUGAUGUUAGAAGACACUGAGGCAUCAACAGGGUUUAAUUCCAUACUCUGUCAUCGAAUAUAGCAAUUGUAAUUGCACCAAUCAGCACUUUGUGUCAAGCUCAAGAUUUGUAAAUGCACCGAUCAGCACUCUGUGUCUAGC